AUUAUGCUGUGGUGUCUCUAGAGGAGUCUAUUGUGAGAGAAUCUCAUUCUCUCCAAGAUAUGUCAGAAAUUCACUGAAAAAGUAUUCACCAUCUCGGUCAAACCAAAGAGUCUUAAUAUUUUUUUUAAUUUAUUUCUUUACUUCAUUACGAAAUCAUUUGAAUAUUUCAAAUGAUUCGGACUUAUAUUUCAUCAAGUAGACAUACCCAUACCUAGA
This 216-nucleotide long non-coding RNA is filed under the name Elaeis guineensis (African oil palm). Its description in RNAcentral is "long non-coding RNA (EGUI_LNC037701)". Lineage: Eukaryota; Viridiplantae; Streptophyta; Magnoliopsida; Arecales; Arecaceae. The record is from RNAcentral.